RNAcentral lists this long non-coding RNA (785 nucleotides) under Pan troglodytes (chimpanzee). Its description in RNAcentral is "long non-coding RNA NONPTRT015831". Lineage: Eukaryota; Metazoa; Chordata; Mammalia; Primates; Hominidae. The record is from RNAcentral.
CGGCCACAAUCCCUGUGCUGAUACCAGAAACAAUAUCACUGAGCAACCAUUCUUUAAGCCGGUAUGCUGGCAACCAAGAUGCUAUGGGGAACAAAGAGAGGACAAUUCUCUUGGCCUUUUGUGGGGAACAGCUGAAAACAUGGAAAGCCACAGAUGAGUGAGCUCCGAACUGAAUGUUACCACCUUUUAAGAUCAAAAAAGGCAGGAUUAAGGGACCUAGAUUGCGUUUUGCGACAGCGAUGUUUUAUUCCAGUGAGCUGGACGUGGCUCUUUUAGGGAUUUUCAUGUACAUACCUCUCCACCACUUCAAGUUCCACCCAUUUCCAACCUGCAGACUGGCCUCCAGUUACGAGAACCUCCACUCUGCCUGCCCCGCUCUGCUGAGAAGUGUCUUUUGGCCCUGACCUUCCCACUCAGUGUUUAUCUAUUCUGUGAAAGACUUUUAGUCUUUCAGAGGUCUGCCCUUUUUGCUGGGAAACAACUAAUUUGAACCAAGAUGCUGAUGAGCGGUGUUAGGAUUUGUCUUUAAUUAGCGGUCAUUUGAAACCAGCAGACAAGCAAGGGUGCAGAACACUUCCCAGCCCCUCCGCAGUCACAUUAGAUGCCUCCACUCUUGGACAAGGCAGCUCCUAGCAGCAUCACCCCUUCAUAGCUGUUCAAGCUGAGGAAGGCCUUCGAUAGAGACAUCACUGAAAAUGCCAUACUGUGCCUGAAAUCUGCUGAAAACACAACUCACCUCAUGGAUCUCAAAAUAUCUCUGAGCCAGUCAGUGCAAAACCAGAGGU